UACGUAGGGUGCAAGCGUUGUCCGGAAUUAUUGGGCGUAAAGAGCUCGUAGGCGGUCUGUUGCGUCGACUGUGAAAACCCGGGGCUCAACUCCGGGCCUGCAGUCGAUACGGGCAGACUAGAGUUCGGCAGGGGAGACUGGAAUUCCUGGUGUAGCGGUGAAAUGCGCAGAUAUCAGGAGGAACACCGGUGGCGAAGGCGGGUCUCUGGGCCGAAACUGACGCUGAGGAGCGAAAGCGUGGGGAGCGAACAGG
RNAcentral lists this ribosomal RNA (253 nucleotides) under uncultured bacterium. RNAcentral's name for it is "partial 16S ribosomal RNA". It matches the Rfam family "Bacterial small subunit ribosomal RNA", at positions 524 to 776 of the family's 1533-position model. The record is from RNAcentral.